UGGUGAUCCAUGAGAAAAUUUUGGUGGUCCACAGAGAAAUGUCACCCCCAAAGCAGCCCCCAAAGCAAUUAAUCUAGGCUGUGCGGGAACACAAGUCUGCGCUGCCACAUGGCCAGCGGGAACACAAGACUUGCAUCUCUUUCAUUGCA
Non-coding RNA from Pseudonaja textilis, 149 nucleotides. The record is from RefSeq and is a predicted model, not a curated record. Lineage: Eukaryota; Metazoa; Chordata; Lepidosauria; Squamata; Elapidae.